RNAcentral lists this ribosomal RNA (523 nucleotides) under Pseudoalteromonas sp. RNAcentral describes it as "bacterial SSU rRNA". It matches the Rfam family "Bacterial small subunit ribosomal RNA", at positions 8 to 526 of the family's 1533-position model. The record is from RNAcentral. Lineage: Bacteria; Pseudomonadati; Pseudomonadota; Gammaproteobacteria; Alteromonadales; Pseudoalteromonadaceae.
AGAGUUUGAUCCUGGCUCAGAUUGAACGCUGGCGGCAGGCCUAACACAUGCAAGUCGAGCGGUAACAGAGAGUAGCUUGCUACUUUGCUGACGAGCGGCGGACGGGUGAGUAAUGCUUGGGAACAUGCCUUGAGGUGGGGGACAACAGUUGGAAACGACUGCUAAUACCGCAUAAUGUCUACGGACCAAAGGGGGCUUCGGCUCUCGCCUUUAGAUUGGCCCAAGUGGGAUUAGCUAGUUGGUGAGGUAAUGGCUCACCAAGGCGACGAUCCCUAGCUGGUUUGAGAGGAUGAUCAGCCACACUGGGACUGAGACACGGCCCAGACUCCUACGGGAGGCAGCAGUGGGGAAUAUUGCACAAUGGGCGCAAGCCUGAUGCAGCCAUGCCGCGUGUGUGAAGAAGGCCUUCGGGUUGUAAAGCACUUUCAGUCAGGAGGAAAGGUUAGUAGUUAAUACCUGCUAGCUGUGACGUUACUGACUACAGAAGAGCCCGUAAAGCACGUGCCAGCAGCCGCGGUAAUAC